This 1027-nucleotide long non-coding RNA is filed under the name Canis lupus familiaris (dog). RNAcentral describes it as "lncRNA (ENSCAFG00845010698.1)". Lineage: Eukaryota; Metazoa; Chordata; Mammalia; Carnivora; Canidae. The record is from RNAcentral.
AUGUCCUCUGUAUUCUUCAUUGUAACCUUGGGCCGUGAAACCCCCUCUCAGCUGGGCCCCAGUUCUGCAGGCCUGUGCCUGCUUGGCCUGUUAUUACUCCAUGAAUCAUUGCUGGCCUUAUUAAACUAUUUUGGGCUGCAGGCUUUCCAUUCUCCUCCCGUGAACCGUGAAGAUUGGAGCUGCUGCAGCAGCAUAGGCCCAGCGUGGAAUCUGAAUGUGAAGGAAAGAAGUUUCACUGGUUUGGAAUAUAGCAUUCUACCUCAGAGAACAACCAAGUCUAGACAUGAAACUGUAAGCAAAGAAUAACUGUUAUUUACUGGCUGUUGUGAGCCUAAUUUAUAACCAAGAAGUGGUGCCUGUGCAUGUUAAGCUACUAUCCACAUGAUGGAUAAACCUUUAAAGGUAAGAGUUCAAAUAAUUUCACGGACUCAGGAUAAUUUAGUUUUAAGGCUAGACAGGAUUGUCAGGCUGAAGGAAUAUCGUUAAUGUCACCUCAAGGAAGACAUUCCAUGGUCAAAUAGGUUUGGAAUGGAUUCAACAAAAUUAACAGAUUUGGCAUUUAACUGCAGGACUUCUCAGAGCCCUUACUAUGCCAACAUGUCUUCAGUAGGGAAGGUAGGAGCAGCAAUCCCCAAGGUGACUGGUGUGUGGGGACUUAUUUUUCCCUGCCACUAGAGAACCCUGUGGGACUGGUAGUUAGCAUUUAUGAAUAAUUAUGAUCUAGAGCAGCACCUUAAUUUUUCAGACAUGAACUCUGAUUUUUUAAUCUUUUUGACCUGCUAUUUCUAGGGAGCCAUGACUGCAGAUACAUAGAAGCUGAUUGUGUCUAUUGUGUUACUAAGAGAUCUGUCCAAAAAGUAAGAGCUUAAACUAGGAGCUAUAAUCAAACCCCUGAAAUACUGUGUAUAUGUAUAUUUAACUUACAAGAUAUUUUAUCUUGCAAGAGCUAAAUACUUAUUUAUUUUUAAUCUGUUUUGUGUACAGCUUGGUUUUUGUGGUGUCUAAUAAUCCCUGAUCUAAUGAGUUU